GAUGAACGCUGGCGGCGUGCCUAAUACAUGCAAGUCGAGCGAACAGACGAGGAGCUUGCUCCUCUGAAGUUAGCGGCGGACGGGUGAGUAACACGUGGAUAACCUACCUAUAAGACUGGGAUAACUUCGGGAAACCGGAGCUAAUACCGGAUAAUAUAUUGAACCGCAUGGUUCAAUAGUGAAAGACGGUUUUGCUGUCACUUAUAGAUGGAUCCGCGCCGCAUUAGCUAGUUGGUAAGGUAACGGCUUACCAAGGCAACGAUGCGUAGCCGACCUGAGAGGGUGAUCGGCCACACUGGAACUGAGACACGGUCCAGACUCCUACGGGAGGCAGCAGUAGGGAAUCUUCCACAAUGGGCGAAAGCCUGACGGAGCAACGCCGCGUGAGUGAUGAAGGUCUUCGGAUCGUAAAACUCUGUUAUUAGGGAAGAACAAAUGUGUAAGUAACUAUGCACGUCUUGACGGUACCUAAUCAGAAAGCCACGGCUAACUACGUG
Molecule: ribosomal RNA, 497 nt
Filed under: uncultured bacterium
Lineage: Bacteria
Description: partial 16S ribosomal RNA
Rfam family: Bacterial small subunit ribosomal RNA
Source: RNAcentral